RNAcentral lists this ribosomal RNA (506 nucleotides) under uncultured Sphingobacteriales bacterium. Its description in RNAcentral is "bacterial SSU rRNA". It matches the Rfam family "Bacterial small subunit ribosomal RNA", at positions 903 to 1382 of the family's 1533-position model. The record is from RNAcentral. Lineage: Bacteria; Pseudomonadati; Bacteroidota; Sphingobacteriia; Sphingobacteriales.
CGCCUUGCCAGCCCGCUACAGAAACUUAAAGGAAUUGACGGGGCCCGCACAAGCGGAGGAGCAUGUGGUUUAAUUCGAUGAUACGCGAGGAACCUUACCCGGGCUCGAACGUAAGAUGACUGUAGGUGAAAGCUUACAUCUCUUCGGAGCAUUUUACGAGGUGCUGCAUGGUUGUCGUCAGCUCGUGCCGUGAGGUGUCGGGUUAAGUCCCAUAACGAGCGCAACCCCUACCUUUAGUUGCCAUCAGGUAAUGCUGGGGACUCUAAAGGAACUGCCUACGCAAGUAGUGAGGAAGGUGGGGAUGACGUCAAAUCAGCACGGCCCUUACGUCCAGGGCUACACACGUGCUACAAUGGCCGGUACAAAGGGCAGCUACCUGGUGACAGGAUGCUAAUCUCAAAAGCCGGUCUCAGUUCGGAUCGGAGUCUGCAACCCGACUCCGUGAAGCUGGAAUCGUCUAGUAAUCGCGCAUCAGCCAUGGCGCGGUGAAUACGUUCCCGGGCCUU